CAUGUGUGGAGAGAUUGCGGACCAAAGAUUGUGUCUUGUGUUCCGUGGUCCUGGUCUAAUGGUAUGAGGACAGUGACGGGAAACACUUCCUGUUGUGAAACAGAACUAUGCAACAACAAAAAUGACAGCCUCCCAGCAAAAAUACCCUUGGGAGAUCCCAAUGGGAGGAAGUGCUACACCUGUGUGGAAAAGGGCUGCACUUCCCAGAUGGAAUGCUUUGCUGAUCAAACCCACUGCGGACAACCAGAAGGGCUGUGCCACAGAAAGUGCAUGCAACUUACUGAGUGCACAAAGUUUUGCAAAGAUGUCCUGCUGUAAUUCUACAAACCUGUGUAACAGUGUCAAUGACAUCACUCAGAAUCUUCUCCCUCUUAUUUUGAUGUCCUUGGGAUUAAUCUCUUACUUCU
Molecule: long non-coding RNA, 407 nt
Organism: Alosa sapidissima (American shad)
Lineage: Eukaryota; Metazoa; Chordata; Actinopteri; Clupeiformes; Clupeidae
Exons: 3
Source: RefSeq, a predicted model, not a curated record